Molecule: non-coding RNA, 206 nt
Organism: Oryza glumipatula
Lineage: Eukaryota; Viridiplantae; Streptophyta; Magnoliopsida; Poales; Poaceae
Source: Rfam
AAAAAGGCAAAUAGUGGGUUCCCGUGCCAACGUUUAAUUGUCCGUCUUAUAUGAAAAUUUUUUUAUAAUUAGUAUUUUCAUUGUUGUUAGACGAUAAAACAUGAUUAAUACUUUAUGCGUGACUUAUCUUUUUAAUUAUUUUCAUAAUUUUUUUAAAUAAGACGAACGGUCAAACAUUAGACACGGAAAUCAGGGUUUGUCUUUUU